This 140-nucleotide small nuclear RNA is filed under the name Cryptosporidium parvum. The record is from RNAcentral. Lineage: Eukaryota; Apicomplexa; Conoidasida; Eucoccidiorida; Cryptosporidiidae.
UAAUUUGAGCUCAGUUAUUAGUUGUUUCUUCAAAAAUACAAUAUUUCAGAAACACGGAAACCAAAUACAUCAUUGCAUUUAAAAAUCGCAUUUAAGUGAUAAACUCCAUCCGUAAUAGAGGUAAAAUCGAUCCCUAAGCC